Non-coding RNA from Rana temporaria (common frog), 1251 nucleotides. NCBI's taxonomy places the organism in Eukaryota, Metazoa, Chordata, Amphibia, Anura, Ranidae. The record is from the annotation of a RefSeq genome assembly.
UUUUUUCCAUGACAUGAAAAACGGUUGUGUGUGCGCGGCAUUAGGCAUUAGACAGUUUUUAACACAGGAUUGUGGUGAGGAAGGGAGGACAGUCUCCUUUUAGAUUUGCUUAAUGAAUCUUAAAAUUAUGGGUUUGGUUCUUCCUGGUGAAGGGGGUAAAAGUGGAGUUGAAUUUUAGGAAUGCUUUCAUUUUUCAGAUCUUGACUCUUGAAAUGGUCUUCUCUGGAAUUGGACUCUGAAAUCUGCAUCAUAAUAUAUAAUUAUCUUGAUUGAAGCUGCUCAACAAGAUACAUAAAAAACAGUGAACUUCUAUUUGAAAAUAAUUGUUACCUUCUUGUCUUCACUCCCCAUAUCUUAAGGGUAACGUGGUCAUUGGGCAAACCUUGCUAGAUACAGUAAGUCAAAUGCAUGAACUGUUCAGUACCGUAUCAUGCAUGUUGAUGUGGGAGGAGACAGGAAGCAAAACAGUUUAAUUAUUGCACAUUAUGUGGAUGAGUAGUUACAUAUGGAGAGAGGAUCAGCAGAUAACACACAAUCUUUACAGAUCUCAUAUAAAAAAUAUAAACAUUUAUAUAAACAGCUUUGUUCUUGCACAGAUGUUAAAACUUGCAACAUGUUCAAAGAACUUUUUGCCAUUUUAUUAAUAAACAUUCUUCCAGGUCUGUGCCAGGAGGUGAAGGUCGAUCAGGGUCAUAAGCUUCUAAUAGUCAAAAAAGGGGAACCAGUGAAGCUUUCAUGCAAGCAUUAUAUUGAGAGUAACUAUGCUAUGUUUUGGUACCAGCAGAAAGCAGGAGAAGGUCUGCAGCUUAUGGUAUAUUCAACAGAUGCCAAAUCGGGUGAAAUGGAAACGUUGUACAAAGCCUGGACUUUUAAUAGGCCUCACGUUCUGAAUUCCACACUGAGCCUGGCAGCAGCAGAUCCUCAGCUCUCUGCUGUGUAUUUCUGUACAGUCAGUAGGCACAGCUACAGACAGCGAAUUACCUGCCGGCAUAAAACCUGCCAAUCUCAGAGGACACGUUAUAUUGAUGACAUACAGAACUACUCACAGAAUGGCCAACAGGGAGAGCAGUUUUCUGUUUUCUCUACUUUAUAGAACCUAUUAAUAAAGGAUUCAUAUUUUUACUAUUUCUUUCCUGUAAGAAUUUAGAAAACUUUUAUAUUUGCAAAGAAACAUUUUAUUCUGCUUAAUCUCUCCUAAUUACAAGGACACCUUUUUGUUUACAAAUAAAUACAUUGAAUUAAAUCUAUUUU